RNAcentral lists this ribosomal RNA (256 nucleotides) under uncultured bacterium. RNAcentral's name for it is "partial 16S ribosomal RNA". It matches the Rfam family "Bacterial small subunit ribosomal RNA", at positions 524 to 777 of the family's 1533-position model. The record is from RNAcentral.
GACGAAGGGGGGCUAGCGUUGCUCGGAAUUACUGGGCGUAAAGCGCGUGUAGGCGGCUGUUCAAGUUGGGCGUGAAAGCCUUGGGCUUAACCCAAGAAAUGCGCUCAAUACUGGAUAGCUAGAGGACCGGAGAGGAUAGUGGAAUUCCCAGUGUAGUGGUGAAAUACGUAGAGAUUGGGAAGAACACCAGUGGCGAAGGCGACACACUGGGCCAUUACUGACGCUGAGGCGGCGAAAGCGUGGGGAGCAAACAGGG